Molecule: ribosomal RNA, 468 nt
Filed under: uncultured bacterium
Lineage: Bacteria
Description: partial 16S ribosomal RNA
Rfam family: Bacterial small subunit ribosomal RNA
Source: RNAcentral
GACGAACGCUGGCGGCGUGCUUAACACAUGCAAGUCGAACGGAAAGGCCCUGCUUUUGUGGGGUUCUCGAGUUGCGAACGGGUGAGUAACACGUGUGUAACCUGCCCUUUACUUUGGUAUAACUUCAGGAAACUGUGGCUAAUACCGGAUCGGCGCUCCUGCUGCAUGGUGGGGGUUGGAAAGUUUCGGCGGUUGGGGAUGGACUCGCGGCUUAUCAGCUUGUUGGUGGGGUAGUGGCUUACCAAGGCUUUGACGGGUAGCCGGCCUGAGAGGGUGACCGGCCACAUUGGGACUGAGAUACGGCCCAGACUCCUACGGGAGGCAGCAGUGGGGAAUAUUGCACAAUGGGCGGAAGCCUGAUGCAGCAACGCCGCGUGCGGGAUGACGGCCUUCGGGUUGUAAACCGCUUUCGCCUGUGACGAAGCGUGAGUGACGGUAAUGGGUAAAGAAGCACCGGCUAACUACGUG